RNAcentral lists this ribosomal RNA (502 nucleotides) under uncultured bacterium. RNAcentral's name for it is "partial 16S ribosomal RNA". It matches the Rfam family "Bacterial small subunit ribosomal RNA", at positions 30 to 523 of the family's 1533-position model. The record is from RNAcentral.
AUUGAACGCUGGCGGAAUGCUUUACACAUGCAAGUCGAACGGCAGCACGGGAGCUUGCUCCUGGUGGCGAGUGGCGAACGGGUGAGUAAUACAUCGGAACGUACCCAGUUGUGGGGGAUAACACAUCGAAAGAUGUGCUAAUACCGCAUACGACCUGAGGGUGAAAGGGGGGGAUCGCAAGACCUCUCGCAGUUGGAGCGGCCGAUGUCGGAUUAGCUAGUUGGUAGGGUAAAGGCCUACCAAGGCGACGAUCCGUAGCUGGUCUGAGAGGACGACCAGCCACACUGGGACUGAGACACGGCCCAGACUCCUACGGGAGGCAGCAGUGGGGAAUUUUGGACAAUGGGGGCAACCCUGAUCCAGCCAUUCCGCGUGAGUGAAGAAGGCCUUCGGGUUGUAAAGCUCUUUCGGCAGGAACGAAAAGGUGGGUCCUAAUACAGUUUGCUAAUGACGGUACCGUAAGAAUAAGCACCGGCUAACUACGUGCCAGCCGCCGCCGUAA